GUCAACUUAGUAUAAGUAGUAGUACAAAAAAUUGUAAAUUUUUAGGUGUUUUUCAGUUGAAA
Molecule: transfer RNA, 62 nt
Filed under: Notocotylus intestinalis
Lineage: Eukaryota; Metazoa; Platyhelminthes; Trematoda; Plagiorchiida; Notocotylidae
Description: tRNA-Tyr
Source: RNAcentral